AUGACGUCACCCAAUGGCGUCACCCAAUGAUGUCACCCCUUGUGUCACCCAAUGGCGUCACCCAUUGUGUCACCCAAUGGUGUCACCCAAUGGCGUCACCCCAUGUCAUCACCCAUUGGCGUCACCCAAUGAAGUCAUCCAGAGGUGUCACCCAAUGGUGUCACCCAAUGAUGUCACCCAAUGGCGUCACCCAAUGGUGUCACCCCAUGUCAUCACCCAAUGGCGUCACCCAAUGACGUAACCCAAAGGCGUCACCCAAUGAUGUCACCCAAUGGUGUCACCCAAUGACGUCACCCCUUGUGUCACCCAAUGGCAUCACCCAAUGAAGUCACCCAGAGGUGUCACCCAAUGACGUCACCCAUUGUGUCACCCAAUGUUGUCACCCGUUGUGUCACCCAAUGGUGUCACCCAGAGGUGUCACCCAAUGGUGUCACCUAUUGUGUCACCCAAUGGCGUCACCCAAUGGUGUCACCCAAUGACGUCACCCAUUGUGUCACCCAAUUGUGUCACCCAAUGAAGUCACCCAGAGGUGUCACCCAAUGACGUCACCCAUUGUGUCACCCAUUGUGUCACCCAAUGACGUCACCCGUUGUCACCCCGCAGUCUCUGCGCGCGCCGUUACAGCCGUCUGCACAACCGCGUGCUGCGCCCAGCGCGGGACGGUGACGAUGACGGUGACAAUGGUGGUGACCACGGUGACAAUGGUGGUGACCACGGUGACCACGGUGACAAUGGUGACAAUGGCGCCGCUGCCACCCCUGCUCCCCUCCCUCUGCUGUUGGCCGGGGGGGGCUGGCAGCGCCAUGAUGGCAGCGCUGGCACCACCAACCCCGUCAGCCACCUCAGCCUUGUCCCCUUCUUGUCCCCAUGUCCCCACAUCCCGGUGUCCCCAUGUCCCCAUGUCCCCAUCCCGUAUCCCAAUGUCCCCAUGUCCCCAUCCCGUAUCCCAAUGUCCCCAUGUCCCCAUCCCGUAUCCCAGUGUCCCCCUCCCAACUUCCCCAAUACCCCAAUGUCCUCAUACCCCAAUGUCCCCACAUCCCAAUGUCCCCAUCCCACAUCCCAGUGUCCCCAUCCAAUGUCCCCACAUCCCAAUGUCCCCAUGUCCCCAUCCCAGUGUCCCCAUCCAAUGUCCCCACAUCCCAGUGUCCCCAUGUCCCCAUCCCGUAUCCCAGUGUCCCCCUCCCAAUGUCCCCAAUACCCCAAUGUCCCCAUGUCCCCAUCCCAGUGUCCCCAUCCAAUGUCCCCACAUCCCAAUGUCCCCAUGUCCCCAUCCAUGUCCCCAUCCCACAUCCCAGUGUCCCCCUCCCAAUGUCCCCAACACCUCAAUGUCCCCAUAUCCCAAUGUCCCCAUGUCCCCAUCCAUGUCCCCAUCCCACAUCCCAAUGUCCCCAUGUCCCCAUCCAAUGUCCCCGUAUCCCAAUGUCCCCAUCCCACAUCCCAGUGUCCCCACAUCCCAAUGUCCCCAUGUCCCCAUCCAUGUCCCCAUCCCACAUCCCAAUGAUGUCCCCAUCCCAAUGUCCCCAAUGUCCCCAUGUCCCCGUAUCCCAAUGUCCCCAUCCCACAUCCCAGUGUCCCCAUGUCCCCAUCCCAGUGUCCCCAUCCAAUGUCCCCAUGUCACUUUGGGGACAUCUGCGGACAAUUUGCGGACACACUUUGGGGACAUUUGGGGUCACAUUUUGGGGACACUUUGGGGACACAAUUUGAGGCACUUCAAGGUUCUCUUGGGGACAUUUGGGGUCACAUUUAUGGGGACAAUUUGGGACACUUUGGGGACACAUUUUUGGGGUCACAUUUUUGGGACAUUUUGGGGACACAUGGGGACAUUUUGGGUCACUUCAGGGUCACUUUGGGGACACAUUUUGGGGUCACAUUUUGGGGACAUUUGGGGACACAUUUUGGGGUCACAUCUUGAGGUCACAUUUUGGGGACAUUUUGGGGUCACAUUUUGGGGUCACAUUUUGAGGUCGCAUUUUGGGGACAUUUGGGGACACAUUUUGGGGACAUUUGGGGACACAUUUUGGGGACAUUUGGGGACACAUUUUGGAGUCACAUUUUGGGGACAUUUUGGGGUCACAUUUUGAGGUCGCAUUUUGGGGACAUUUGGGAACACAUUUUGGGGACAUUUGGGGACACAUUUUGGAGUCACAUUUUGGGGACAUUUGGGGACACAUUUUGGGGUCACAUUUUGGGGACAUUUGGGGACAUUUUGGAGUCACAUUUUGGGGACAUUUGGGGACACUUCAGGGCCCCUUUGGGGACAUUUGGGGACACUUUUUGCUGUC
Meleagris gallopavo (turkey) is the source of this 2282-nucleotide long non-coding RNA. The record is from Ensembl. NCBI's taxonomy places the organism in Eukaryota, Metazoa, Chordata, Aves, Galliformes, Phasianidae.